This is a long non-coding RNA of Betta splendens (Siamese fighting fish), 1321 nucleotides long. RefSeq lists it as uncharacterized. NCBI's taxonomy places the organism in Eukaryota, Metazoa, Chordata, Actinopteri, Anabantiformes, Osphronemidae. The transcript is spliced from 2 exons. The record is from RefSeq and is a predicted model, not a curated record.
AGGGAAAUGGUUCGCUCCGCGUUCGGCGGCGCUCGACUCUUUCCGACCUGUUACCGACGAGCGCGAUUCGCCCAGGUCGGCGCGAGGCAGGUGCGGCGGGUUGAGUCACUUCCAGGAAACCCGUCCCGCGUGUCAUCGGCGUGAAGUUAGAACCACAGAGGCUCGUGUUUGGACGCUCCUGGUUAAUUAUUGUCCUGCAAAUUUACCAGAUCACCCGGUUUAUAGUCUUCUUAUAACUUCUCUAUUAUGGGUUUGACGUUGGUUUGAUUUAAACACAUUCAUAUGUACCGUUUUUUCCGCUCUCCUUAAAUGUGGAAACUCCGUUUCUGCAGUCGAAACACGUGAUCUGCAGGAGCUAAAAGUUCCUGCAGUGAAGUCAUGUCCACCUCAUACACUGCUGUAAACCUGGUCUCUGCACAACCUCCCUCAAAAUGUAUUACUAUCCACAAUGUAUAAGACAGAACUAUGUAUGUGCUUAUUUAGACGUUAUUCUCAAAGUGUUACUUCACUUUUAUGUCACAAUCGCUAUAUGCCAUAAAAUGCCUGCUUCCUGUCAACUGAGGAUUUAAAAGGAAAAUCCUUUAUGUAGUUGAUUCAAAGACCAUAGUCAAUUAUAAAGCUAAGCUCUGAUCUGGCUGAUGUUUGCGUUGCACAGCUGUUAAAAUAAAUACGUGCAAUCUGUAAGUGUGACUCGAAGAUGCUGACAGCUGGCAUAGACAUUCUCAAGUUACUUAGCAACAGCCACGGACGGACAAAGAUAAUAUGGCUGCUGUUGGAACUGGGGGGUGGUGUGAAAUCAGCACGUCUCCUUUACACAGCGUCAGGACGUUAAAAGAAACACCGGGGGAUGAAGAGGGUACGAGGGGAUUGUUAGUAGCGACUGGGAGAGCGUCCAGCUGGAAGGAUGUCCUCGUGAGUCAAGGGGGAAACAGUCACGUGUCAGAAGGGAGGAGGGAGUACAGUCACAGUGGGGGAACGUGCUCAAGCGUCGCCAUCUGCAGGAUGCCUGAAUACAAUGCAUCUGUCCGGCUGUCCGUCUGUCCCGGCUCAGAGGAACUCAUUUUUGGCUGCCGUGCUCCUGUUUUGCUUUGAAAGGAAAAAUGACACACCAAGUAGGAGUUUGAACUGCAGACUGUUAAUUGCAGCGGAUUCGAUGGUAUUUUAGGUCUCAUUGGAUGAACAUUAAAAAACACACUGGCCAUUUUAUCUCCAUGGUCUCAUUUCAUGCUGCCAAAUGUUUCUGGCCAGACUGAGCCUGUAAUAACAGCUAUUUCUAAUAUGGGCGCCAAUGAUAUCUCUGUAAAGUCUGGUAAACGCCACA